CUCUAAUGAAGUACUAAAAACAUUGAUUGUCUGAAAAUACUAAAGACUGUAAGGUAAUGAUAAUGCCCGAAAGAACUGGGUAUCACCAAGUAGCUGGUACGAGAAUCCUAGCACUCUGAAUCAUCAACAUGUAAAUCAUUGCCUGUAUAGUGAGAUGCAGGCCCAGGCAAAAGGGACGUCAGUACAUCUGAAUUGUACUGGUAUGUAAAGCAACUGAAAGAAAGAAUUAUAAAUGUUGAAACUCAAACCAAGGUGAUAAUUGAGAAUUUAUAAUUGAUAACUGAAAUGAUAACUAUUGAAACUGAAACUGAAAUAAUAACUAAUAAUUGAUAACCGAUAACUGAAAUGACAACUGAUAACUGAAAUGAUAACUGAUAACUGAACAGAACAAAGAAAGUAAGGAUAUGAAUACUCCCUCUUCUGAAUGAUGAACAACCUGUUUAUCUGUAUAAGCUACGGCCUUGGGCCCAACAUAUAUGUGCACAAGCUACGGCCUCAGGCCCAAGUAUACGUAUACAUAACUAUGGGCUCAGGCCAAAAAAUGCAUAAAGCAUAAACUACGACCUCAGGCCCAAAUAUUCAUAAAGCAUAAACUACGGCCUCAGGCCCAUGUAUGCAUAAAGAAUAUAAACUACAGCCUCAGGCCCAAAUAUAGGUGUUCAACAUUCAGGAACUAAGAAUUAAACUGUAAUACAUUAUAGUGAAAUACUGAAUGACACUAAGUUACAUGAUACUGGAAUAUUGAAUCACACUAAGUUACAUAAUACUGGAGUACUGAAUAGGACUAGACUGAAAUAUAUAUUCUUGAACUGAUAAUGAACAUUGAAACUUCAACUGUUUAUGGCAUACUGAGUAAUUUAUACUAAGACUCGGGGGCAUCAAACCCAAGUCUAUAUUGAAUACACACUGAGCUUACAACAUUCAGAAUGAAAGUGGUGAACGAGUUAUGAAAAUAGAGAAUAGAAUUUCUACAACUAUUCAAGGAAGUAGGCUUACCUAUAUUUUUGAGGUAAUUGGUAACGUCAUAAAAGAAACGUGUGCAGGGAGAAUCAUAAAAAUUCGCAAACAUAGAGAGUUAGCAUUACAUACCUUAACUUCCUGCUCUUGAGCAUAAUACAACAUCC
RNAcentral lists this long non-coding RNA (1124 nucleotides) under Nicotiana benthamiana. Its description in RNAcentral is "long non-coding RNA (NBEN_LNC018918)". Lineage: Eukaryota; Viridiplantae; Streptophyta; Magnoliopsida; Solanales; Solanaceae. The record is from RNAcentral.